This 485-nucleotide ribosomal RNA is filed under the name [Candida] sp. LCF-80. RNAcentral's name for it is "eukaryotic LSU rRNA". It matches the Rfam family "Eukaryotic large subunit ribosomal RNA", at positions 89 to 650 of the family's 3401-position model. The record is from RNAcentral. Lineage: Eukaryota; Fungi; Ascomycota; Saccharomycetes; Saccharomycetales.
GCGAGUGAAGCGGCAAAAGCUCAAAUUUGAAAUCCUCCGGGAAUUGUAAUUUGAAGGACCUAUUAAAACCCUGGGAGAGCCCAAAGUCCAUUGGAAAAUGGCGCCAUAGAAGGUGAUAGCCCUGUGUGGACCUCUCCCGGUAUAUUUUUUAGGCCCAAAGAGUCGAGUUGUUUGGGAAUGCAGCUCUAAGUGGGUGGUAAAUUCCAUCUAAAGCUAAAUAUUGGCGAGAGACCGAUAGCGAACAAGUACAGUGAUGGAAAGAUGAAAAGCACUUUGAAAAGAGAGUGAAAAAGUACGUGAAAUUGUUGAAAGGGAAGGGCUUGCAAGCAGACACAACCUCGGUUGGGCCAGCAUCGGGGCGGGGGGAAACAAAAAAGGUGUGGAAUGUGGCUCUUUUAGAGUGUUAUAGCCCCACCCAAUAUUUCCAUCCCAUCCCGAGGCCUGCGAUUCUUCAAGGAUGCUGGCGUAAUGGUUGCAAGUCGCCC